UGGACCCACAGGUGAAAAAUGAAACCUUUGGACUAAACUUCUAAAAUGACCCAAACCACAGGGACUAAAAUGGCAUUUAACUCUUAUUUAAAUAUUAGAGUUAAAAAGAGUUAAAUGCCAUUUUAGUUCAUGUGGUUUGGGCCAUUUUGCCAGUUUAGUCCAAAGGUUUCAUUUUUCGUCCGUGGGUCCA
Molecule: microRNA precursor, 190 nt
Filed under: Helianthus annuus (common sunflower)
Lineage: Eukaryota; Viridiplantae; Streptophyta; Magnoliopsida; Asterales; Asteraceae
Source: RNAcentral